CCCCACAACUGCCACAUAUCUGCCCCCACCACCCCACAACACCCCCCUUAACCCCCCCCCUCCACUCCCCCCACCCCCACCCCUUCCCUCCCGCCCCAUUGCCGACCCCCGGCGGCCGACGCAGUGGGGCCGCCCCAUAGGGCGACGGGCGUUACCUGGUGUCCAACUCCAAGGAUCAGACGGCAAAGCUGUGGGAUCUGAGGCGCCCGGCGGGGCCCGGGGGGGUGGCGGCAGCCAGGAGGGCCGUGGCCCGGCAGAGCUGGGACUACCGCUGGCAGAGAGCCCCACGGAGGG
This 294-nucleotide long non-coding RNA is filed under the name Gallus gallus (chicken). Lineage: Eukaryota; Metazoa; Chordata; Aves; Galliformes; Phasianidae. The record is from RNAcentral.